This 373-nucleotide ribosomal RNA is filed under the name uncultured bacterium. Its description in RNAcentral is "bacterial SSU rRNA". It matches the Rfam family "Bacterial small subunit ribosomal RNA", at positions 675 to 1047 of the family's 1533-position model. The record is from RNAcentral.
GUAGCGGUGAAAUGCGUAGAGAUCUGGAGGAAUACCGAUGGCGAAGGCAGCUUCCUGGCAUAAUAUUGACACUGAGAUUCGAAAGCGUGGGUAGCAAACAGGAUUAGAUACCCUGGUAGUCCACGCCGUAAACGAUGUCUACUAGCCGUUGGGGUCCUUGAGACUUUAGUGGCGCAGUUAACGCGAUAAGUAGACCGCCUGGGGAGUACGGCCGCAAGGUUAAAACUCAAAUGAAUUGACGGGGCCCGCACAAGCGGUGGAGCAUGUGGUUUAAUUCGAUGUCGACGCGAAGAACCUUACCAGGACUUGACAUGUCGCGAAUCCAGUGGAAACACAGGAGUGCCUUCGGGAGCGCGAACACAGGUGGUGCAUG